AACGAACGCUGGCGGCAUGCCUAACACAUGCAAGUCGAACGAAGCCUUCGGGCUUAGUGGCGCACGGGUGCGUAACGCGUGGGAAUCUGCCCUUGGGUUCGGAAUAACAGUUAGAAAUGACUGCUAAUACCGGAUGAUGUCUUCGGACCAAAGAUUUAUCGCCCAAGGAUGAGCCCGCGUCGGAUUAGCUAGUUGGUGAGGUAAAGGCUCACCAAGGCGACGAUCCGUAGCUGGUCUGAGAGGAUGAUCAGCCACACUGGGACUGAGACACGGCCCAGACUCCUACGGGAAGCAGCAGUGGGGAAUAUUGGACAAUGGGCGAAAGCCUGAUCCAGCAAUGCCGCGUGAGUGAUGAAGGCCUUAGGGUUGUAAAGCUCUUUUACCCGGGAUGAUAAUGACAGUACCGGGAGAAUAAGCCCCGGCUAACUCCGUG
Molecule: ribosomal RNA, 433 nt
Filed under: uncultured bacterium
Lineage: Bacteria
Description: partial 16S ribosomal RNA
Rfam family: Bacterial small subunit ribosomal RNA
Source: RNAcentral